UGGGGAAUUUUGGACAAUGGGGGAAACCCUGAUCCAGCCAUCCCGCGUGUGCGAUGAAGGCCUUCGGGUUGUAAAUCACUUUUGGCAGGAAAGAAACGUCAUGGGUUAAUACCCCGUGAAACUGACGGUACCUGCAGAAUAAGCACCGGCUAACUACUUGCCAGCAGCCGCGGUAAUACGUAGGGUGCAAUCGUUAAUCGGAAUUACUGGGCGUAAAGCGUGCGCAGGCGGUUCGGAAAGAAAGAUGUGAAAUCCCAGAGCUCAACUUUGGAACUGCAUUUUUAACUACCGGGCUAGAGUGUGUCGGAGGGGGGUGGAAUUCCGCGUGUAGCAGUGAAAUGCGUAGCUAUGCGGAGGAACACCGAUGGCGAAGGCAGCCUCCUGGGAUAACACUGACGCUAAUGCACGAAAGCGUGGGGAGCAAACAGG
RNAcentral lists this ribosomal RNA (429 nucleotides) under Acidobacteriota bacterium. Its description in RNAcentral is "Acidobacteria bacterium partial 16S ribosomal RNA". It matches the Rfam family "Bacterial small subunit ribosomal RNA", at positions 355 to 776 of the family's 1533-position model. Lineage: Bacteria; Pseudomonadati; Acidobacteriota. The record is from RNAcentral.